AUUGAACGCUGGCGGCAUGUCUUACACAUGCAAGUCGAACGGUAACAGGUCUUCGGAUGCUGACGAGUGGCGAACGGGUGAGUAAUACAUCGGAACGUGCCUAGUAGUGGGGGAUAACUACUCGAAAGAGUGGCUAAUACCGCAUGAGAUCUACGGAUGAAAGCAGGGGAUCGCAAGACCUUGUGCUACUAGAGCGGCCGAUGGCAGAUUAGGUAGUUGGUGGGAUAAAAGCUUACCAAGCCGACGAUCUGUAGCUGGUCUGAGAGGACGAUCAGCCACACUGGGACUGAGAAACGGCCCAGACUCCUACGGGAGGCAGCAGGGGGGAAUUUUGGACAAGGGGCGAAAGCCUGAUCCAGCAAUGCCGCGUGCAGGCUGAAGGCCUUCGGGUUGUAAACUGCUUUUGUACGGAACGAAAAGCCCCGGGUUAAUACCCUGGGGUCAUGACGGUACCGUAAGAAUAAGCACCGGCUAACUACGUGCCAGCCGCCACCGUAA
RNAcentral lists this ribosomal RNA (498 nucleotides) under uncultured bacterium. RNAcentral describes it as "partial 16S ribosomal RNA". It matches the Rfam family "Bacterial small subunit ribosomal RNA", at positions 30 to 523 of the family's 1533-position model. The record is from RNAcentral.